UGGGGAAUAUUGGACAAUGGGCGAAAGCCUGAUCCAGCCAUGCCGCGUGUGUGAAGAAGGUCUUCGGAUUGUAAAGCACUUUAAGUUGGGAGGAAGGGCAGUAAGCGAAUACCUUGCUGUUUUGACGUUACCGACAGAAUAAGCACCGGCUAACUCUGUGCCAGCAGCCGCGGUAAUACAGAGGGUGCAAGCGUUAAUCGGAAUUACUGGGCGUAAAGCGCGCGUAGGUGGUUCGUUAAGUUGAAUGUGAAAGCCCCGGGCUAAACCUGGGAACUGCAUCCAAAACUGGCGAGCUAGAGUAGGGCAGAGGGUGGUGGAAUUUCCUGUGUAGCGGUGAAAUGCGUAGAUAUAGGAAGGAACACCAGUGGAGAAGGCGACCACCUGGGCUCAUACUGACACUGAGGUGCGAAAGCGUGGGGAGCAAACAGG
Molecule: ribosomal RNA, 429 nt
Filed under: Pseudomonadota bacterium
Lineage: Bacteria; Pseudomonadati; Pseudomonadota
Description: Proteobacteria bacterium partial 16S ribosomal RNA
Rfam family: Bacterial small subunit ribosomal RNA
Source: RNAcentral